This 497-nucleotide ribosomal RNA is filed under the name uncultured bacterium. Its description in RNAcentral is "partial 16S ribosomal RNA". It matches the Rfam family "Bacterial small subunit ribosomal RNA", at positions 28 to 507 of the family's 1533-position model. The record is from RNAcentral.
GACGAACGCUGGCGGCGUGCCUAAUACAUGCAAGUAGAACGCUGAAGAGAGGAGCUUCCUCUUCUUGGAUGAGUUGCGAACGGGCGAGUAACGCGUAGGUAACCUGCCUUGUAGCGGGGGAUAACUAUUGGAAACGAUAGCUAAUACCGCAUAACAAUGGAUGACACAUGUCAUUUAUUUGAAAGGGGCAAUUGCUCCACUACAAGAUGGACCUGCGUUGUAUUAGCUAGUAGGUGAGGUAAUGGCUCACCUAGGCGACGAUACAUAGCCGACCUGAGAGGGUGAUCGGCCACACUGGGACUGAGACACGGCCCAGACUCCUACGGGAGGCAGCAGUAGGGAAUCUUCGGCAAUGGGGGCAACCCUGACCGAGCAACGCCGCGUGAGUGAAGAAGGUUUUCGGAUCGUAAAGCUCUGUUGUAAGUCAAGAACGGGUGUGAGAGUGGAAAGUUCACACUGUGACGGUAGCUUACCAGAAAGGGACGGCUAACUACGUG